GCUGGGUGUGGUGGUGCCCACCUGUAAUCCUAGCAGCUUGGGAGGCUUGAGACAGGAGGAUUGUGAGUUCAAAGCCAGCCUCAGCAACAGUGAGGCAUUAAAGCAACUCAGUGAGACUCAGUCUCUA
Molecule: small RNA, 127 nt
Filed under: Marmota monax (woodchuck)
Lineage: Eukaryota; Metazoa; Chordata; Mammalia; Rodentia; Sciuridae
Source: RNAcentral